This 303-nucleotide unclassified non-coding RNA is filed under the name uncultured Capnodiales. RNAcentral's name for it is "sequence contains ITS1". The stretch from base 1 to 105 matches the Rfam family "5.8S ribosomal RNA", at positions 50 to 154 of the family's 154-position model. Lineage: Eukaryota; Fungi; Ascomycota; Dothideomycetes; Capnodiales. The record is from RNAcentral.
GAAAUGCGAUAAGUAAUGUGAAUUGCAGAAUUCAGUGAAUCAUCGAAUCUUUGAACGCACAUUGCGCCCCUUGGUAUUCCGGGGGGCAUGCCCGUUCGAGCGUCAUUACACCACUCAAGCCUGGCUUGGUAUUGGGCGUCCGGCACUCACCUGCCCGCCCCAAAUUCUCUUCGGCUGAUCGGUUUACUUUCUUAGCGUUGGAGUGUUGUCAUUACGUUCCGCUAAUCGAAAGACGCCGGCCGGCCGUUAAACACUCUAAUCACGGUUGACCUCGGAUCGGGUAGGGAUACCCGCUGAACUUAA